RNAcentral lists this long non-coding RNA (1237 nucleotides) under Bos indicus x Bos taurus (hybrid cattle). RNAcentral describes it as "lncRNA (ENSBIXG00005013668.1)". Lineage: Eukaryota; Metazoa; Chordata; Mammalia; Artiodactyla; Bovidae. The record is from RNAcentral.
AUGGCUGCAGACCUAAAAGAAGGAAGCAAGGCACGCACUCAGGGCGGACUCCUGUCAUGGCGUUGUCUCUGCCCCUCAAAUUUUGAUAAUUCUGGUUACCUACCCUCGUCUUCAGAGUACCAUGAAGCUCUCACUGUCUGCCUCGGCUGUUUCCUUGAGGGAAUAAACCAAGCCAUCUUCCCCUACGACUAUCUCAAGGGAGGAUCUAGUCUGAAAAUUCAGGCAAGUUCUACCCGAACUGCUACUUGCACCAGUAAAACAGUAUGCUAUCCUUGCAAGUAAAGGUAAAGAUCAUCAAUCAAUCUUUCCUCCAAAUUACACAAUCCUCUGAGUAAAAUUAAUAAUUACAGACGCAAUUAUGCUCUAUUAGCAUGAGUAAAAUGUUUAUGCAAAGAACCUUAGCUAAGUGAAUGCAAAUGAUGGUAGAUCACAGGCACACACACUUUACUCUGCCGUUUCCUCUGCCAGGAAGGAAACGUUCUAAGAUCUUUGCCUGCUUUCUUGCUUCUCAUUAUGGAGGGUUCGGCUCUGAUGCCAUCUACUGAGAAUGGUCAUUCUUAACUAUCCCAUUUCAUGAAGUACCCCAAACUCCCUGUUCCAUAUUACCUUGUUUGAUUUUUAUAGCACUUUGAUCUUUAGUUACUGUUCUUUUGUUAACUGGCUGGCUGUCUCUCCCAUUAGCCUGUAAGCACCAUGAGAGUUGGGGACUUCUCUGAUUCACCACGCCAUUUCCAAUGCCCAGAAUCAUGCUCGGUGUACAGUAGGAAUGCAUGAAUAUCCAAUUGGUGAACAGAUGAACAAAUGAAAUGCUCAUGUUUUUGUUGGAAAAGAUUACAUAGGAAAGGAUGAACAAUUGCAAACCAAGCUCAAGACUGGUUUUACUUAGAAGUACUUGUAGUUUACCAGACAGUAUUUAUUAUACACUUGAAUUUUUAGACCUUUAUUAAUCUACCUGAAAUUAUACAUAAAAUAGCCAUCUUAUGUAAGUGUAGAGAAUAUGCCAAAAAAAAAAAAACAACCCACAAUAAUGGCAAAUGCACAGUAUUACAGUGAAGUAAAAUGGCUUCUCCAUGUGACAACUGACUCAAAGUUAAAUUUCUAAGUAAUUAGAAUCAUUAUGUUUCUCUUUAAUCAAUUUCUAGAUUGAGACACACUAACUCUAUCCACACUGUAAACUCAUGAAACAUAGCAGUUAUUAAUUACAGUAGCAAUAAAAGUUCAUAAUCUAGCUCCCUCA